This 483-nucleotide ribosomal RNA is filed under the name uncultured bacterium. RNAcentral describes it as "partial 16S ribosomal RNA". It matches the Rfam family "Bacterial small subunit ribosomal RNA", at positions 30 to 506 of the family's 1533-position model. The record is from RNAcentral.
AUUGAACGCUGGCGGCAGGCCUAACACAUGCAAGUCGAGCGGAUGAAGGGAGCUUGCUCCUGGAUUCAGCGGCGGACGGGUGAGUAAUGCCUAGGAAUCUGCCUGGUAGUGGGGGAUAACGUCCGGAAACGGGCGCUAAUACCGCAUACGUCCUGAGGGAGAAAGUGGGGGAUCUUCGGACCUCACGCUAUCAGAUGAGCCUAGGUCGGAUUAGCUAGUUGGUGGGGUAAAGGCCUACCAAGGCGACGAUCCGUAACUGGUCUGAGAGGAUGAUCAGUCAAAUAGGAAUUAAGACGCGGUCCAGGCCCCGCGGGGAGGCAGAAGUGGGGAAUUUUGAGAGAGGGGCGAAAGCCGCACCCAGCCAUGCGGCGGGUGUAAAGAAGGUUUUAGGUUUGUAAAGCCUUUUAAGUUGGGGGGAGGGGAGGUAAGUAAAAUCCUUGCUUUUUGGACGUUCCCAAAAGAAAGAGCCGCGGCAAAUUUCGG